This 484-nucleotide ribosomal RNA is filed under the name uncultured bacterium. RNAcentral describes it as "partial 16S ribosomal RNA". It matches the Rfam family "Bacterial small subunit ribosomal RNA", at positions 30 to 507 of the family's 1533-position model. The record is from RNAcentral.
AUUGAACGCUGGCGGAAUGCUUUACACAUGCAAGUCGAACGGCAGCACGGGGGAAGCCCUGGUGGCGAGUGGCGAACGGGUGAGUAAUACAUCGGAACGUGCCCGGUCGUGGGGGAUAACGUAGCGAAAGUUACGCUAAUACCGCAUACGAUCUGAGGAUGAAAGCGGGGGACCUUCGGGCCUCGCGCGAUCGGAGCGGCCGAUGUCAGAUUAGGUAGUUGGUGGGGUAAAGGCCUACCAAGCCGACGAUCUGUAGCUGGUCUGAGAGGACGACCAGCCACACUGGGACUGAGACACGGCCCAGACUCCUACGGGAGGCAGCAGUGGGGAAUUUUGGACAAUGGGCGCAAGCCUAAUCCAGCCAUUCCGCGUGCAGGACGAAGGCCUUCGGGUUGUAAACUGCUUUUGUACGGAACGAAAAGGCUCUGGCUAAUACCUGGGGCUCAUGACGGUACCGUAAGAAUAAGCACCGGCUAACUACGUG